This 243-nucleotide ribosomal RNA is filed under the name uncultured bacterium. Its description in RNAcentral is "partial 16S ribosomal RNA". It matches the Rfam family "Bacterial small subunit ribosomal RNA", at positions 9 to 234 of the family's 1533-position model. The record is from RNAcentral.
GAGUUUGAUCGUGGCUCAGGAUGAACGCUAGCUACAGGCUUAACACAUGCAAGUCGAGCGAAGCGCUUUGGUUAGAUUCUUCGGAUGAAGACCUUUGUGACUGAGCGGCGGACGGGUGAGUAACGCGUGGGUAACCUGCCUCAUACAGGGGGAUAACAGUUAGAAAUGACUGCUAAUACCGCAUAAGACCACAGUACCGCAUGGUACAGGGGUAAAAACUCCGGUGGUAUGAGAUGGGACCCC